CUUCCGUAGGUGAACCUGCGGAAGGAUCAUUACCGAGUGUAGGGUUCCUAGCGAGCCCAACCUCCCACCCGUGUUUACUGUAACCUUAGUUGCUUCGGCGGGCCCGCCUUUAAGGCCGCCGGGGGGCAUCAGCCCCCGGGCCCGCGCCCGCCGGAGACACCACGAACUCUGUCUGAUCUAGUGAAGUCUGAGUUGAUUGUAUCGCAAUCAGUUAAAACUUUCAACAAUGGAUCUCUUGGUUCCGGCAUCGAUGAAGAACGCAGCGAAAUGCGAUAACUAGUGUGAAUUGCAGAAUUCCGUGAAUCAUCGAGUCUUUGAACGCACAUUGCGCCCCCUGGUAUUCCGGGGGGCAUGCCUGUCCGAGCGUCAUUGCUGCCCAUCAAGCACGGCUUGUGUGUUGGGUCGUCGUCCCCUCUUCGGGGGGGACGGGCCCCAAAGGCAGCGGCGGCACCGCGUCCGAUCCUCGAGCGUAUGGGGCUUUGUCACCCGCUCUGUAGGCCCGGCCGGCGCUUGCCGAACGCAAAACAACCAUUCUUUCCAGGUUGACCUCGGAUCAGGUAGGGAUACCCGCUGAACUUAAGCAUAUCAAUAAGCGGAG
This 598-nucleotide ribosomal RNA is filed under the name Aspergillus sp. BAB-5551. RNAcentral's name for it is "eukaryotic LSU rRNA". The stretch from base 216 to 369 matches the Rfam family "5.8S ribosomal RNA". Lineage: Eukaryota; Fungi; Ascomycota; Eurotiomycetes; Eurotiales; Aspergillaceae. The record is from RNAcentral.